Molecule: transfer RNA, 86 nt
Filed under: Christensenellaceae bacterium
Lineage: Bacteria; Bacillati; Bacillota; Clostridia; Christensenellales; Christensenellaceae
Description: tRNA-Tyr
Rfam family: tRNA
About the family: Transfer RNA (tRNA) molecules are approximately 80 nucleotides in length.
Source: RNAcentral
GGAAGGGUUGCAGAGUGGUCAAAUGCUGCGGACUGUAAAUCCGCCCUCUAACGAGUUCGUUGGUUCAAAUCCAGCCCCUUCCACCA